Molecule: ribosomal RNA, 541 nt
Filed under: Escherichia coli
Lineage: Bacteria; Pseudomonadati; Pseudomonadota; Gammaproteobacteria; Enterobacterales; Enterobacteriaceae
Description: partial 23S ribosomal RNA
Rfam family: Bacterial large subunit ribosomal RNA
Source: RNAcentral
GGCGUUAAGUUGCAGGGUAUAGACCCGAAACCCGGUGAUCUAGCCAUGGGCAGGUUGAAGGUUGGGUAACACUAACUGGAGGACCGAACCGACUAAUGUUGAAAAAUUAGCGGAUGACUUGUGGCUGGGGGUGAAAGGCCAAUCAAACCGGGAGAUAGCUGGUUCUCCCCGAAAGCUAUUUAGGUAGCGCCUCGUGAAUUCAUCUCCGGGGGUAGAGCACUGUUUCGGCAAGGGGGUCAUCCCGACUUACCAACCCGAUGCAAACUGCGAAUACCGGAGAAUGUUAUCACGGGAGACACACGGCGGGUGCUAACGUCCGUCGUGAAGAGGGAAACAACCCAGACCGCCAGCUAAGGUCCCAAAGUCAUGGUUAAGUGGGAAACGAUGUGGGAAGGCCCAGACAGCCAGGAUGUUGGCUUAGAAGCAGCCAUCAUUUAAAGAAAGCGUAAUAGCUCACUGGUCGAGUCGGCCUGCGCGGAAGAUGUAACGGGGCUAAACCAUGCACCGAAGCUGCGGCAGCGACACUAUGUGUUGUUGGGUA